GACGAACGCUGGCGGCGUGCCUAAUACAUGCAAGUAGAACGCUGAAGAGAGGAGCUUGCUCUUCUUGGAUGAGUUGCGAACGGGUGAGUAACGCGUAGGUAACCUGCCUUGUAGCGGGGGAUAAAUAUUGGAAACGAUAGCUAAUACCGCAUAACAAUGGAUGACACAUGUCAUUUAUUUGAAAGGGGCAAUUGCUCCACUACAAGAUGGACCUGCGUUGUAUUAGCUAGUAGGUGAGGUAAUGGCUCACCUAGGCGACGAUACAUAGCCGACCUGAGAGGGUGAUCGGCCACACUGGGACUGAGACACGGCCCAGACUCCUACGGGAGGCAGCAGUAGGGAAUCUUCGGCAAUGGGGGCAACCCUGACCGAGCAACGCCGCGUGAGUGAAGAAGGUUUUCGGAUCGUAAAGCUCUGUUGUAAGUCAAGAACGGGUGUGAGAGUGGAAAGUUCUCACUGUGACGGUAGCUUACCAGAAAGGGACGGCUAACUACGUG
This 497-nucleotide ribosomal RNA is filed under the name uncultured bacterium. RNAcentral's name for it is "partial 16S ribosomal RNA". It matches the Rfam family "Bacterial small subunit ribosomal RNA", at positions 28 to 507 of the family's 1533-position model. The record is from RNAcentral.